UGGGGAAUUUUGGACAAUGGGCGAAAGCCUGAUCCAGCAAUACCGCGUGUGUGAUGAAGGCCUUCGGGUCGUAAAGCACUUUCAAUUGUGAAGAAAUGCAUACGGUAAAUAGCCGUAUGAGCUGACGUUAACAAUAGAAGAAGCACCGGCUAACUCUGUGCCAGCAGCCGCGGUAAUACAGAGGGUGCGAGCGUUAAUCGGAAUUACUGGGCGUAAAGAGCGCGUAGGCGGACAAUUAAGUCAUGUGUGAAAUCCCUGAGCUCAACUUAGGAAUUGCGCGUGAUACUGGUUGUCUUGAGUAUGGUAGAGGGAAGUGGAAUUUCCGGUGUAGCGGUGAAAUGCAUAGAUAUCGGAAGGAACACCAGUGGCGAAGGCGACUUCCUGGGCCAUUACUGACGCUGAGGCGCGAAAGCGUGGGGAGCAAACAGG
This 429-nucleotide ribosomal RNA is filed under the name uncultured bacterium. RNAcentral describes it as "bacterial SSU rRNA". It matches the Rfam family "Bacterial small subunit ribosomal RNA", at positions 355 to 776 of the family's 1533-position model. The record is from RNAcentral.